This 997-nucleotide unclassified non-coding RNA is filed under the name Hevea brasiliensis (rubber tree). The record is from RNAcentral. Lineage: Eukaryota; Viridiplantae; Streptophyta; Magnoliopsida; Malpighiales; Euphorbiaceae.
ACAAAUGGGAGCAUAACAACUAAAUCAUUCAGGAAUCAUCGCACAUGUUCUUUCAUUUAGAUAUUUACAAACACUUGAUUAAAAAAUGGAAGGUUGUUAAAAAGGAGGAAAAGUUCUACCAAUAUUGCUGGCACUAGCGAAAAAACCUACCAGAUCUCGCCGGUAUGGUAAAUAUGAUUUGCGCCUAUUCUUAUCCAUUUCCUUUGCCGCUUGGUUCCGUAAAUAAACGUCCGUCAUCGAAGAUGUUUUGUUACCGCUGCUACUGUUGCCCUUUGCCUUCAAUUUUCCGGCAAUUUUAGACGCUUCCGCUGAGUCCUUUGCUUUGGAUGUUUCAUUUUUCAAUCCUUUUUCCGGCGUCAGAAAUAAAAAACUGUCCUUACCGUCACUGUUGCUCCGGCGCAUCAAAUCUCGGAUAUUCCACCGCUUAAACGCCGAUCCCGUUGAAUUACUCUUCUUACAUCUGCUUGGUGAAGGCUCGGUUAUAUUCGGCUUCCAUACACAAUACGUUCCCGGAGGUACACUCUCCAACUCAUCGACCUCGGAAGAUGACGACGACAGCGGUUCCCGUUCUUCUAAGAAUAAAUCCUUUAACGAAACUUGAACUGAACUAUUGACGUUUUCCGACGAUUCACCGUUAACACCUUCUCGAUCUACGCCAUAAGAAACAUCGUUUGGUAUCAGAUCGCGGUUGAAAACGGGGUAAAUAGGACGGUCGAAGGGGAAUACGCCGACCGAAUCCUCUGGAUUUUCACAAACCAAAGAGAAUUCAAAAUCUUCAUCUCCAUCGGCACCGUCAACGUUCUCUUCUACCACCUGAGAAUCACGCUUAAUUUCAUCGGAGAUUUUUCCGGCAAUCUCGGCCACUCUAUUUGAAGAGUAGCUACUAAAGCUCGGAGAAAAAAAUUCGUCUUCCUGCAUGUGAGUAGUUGUAAUUUCAUAAACGCUCUGGUGCACGUUUAGUGUCUCUGUAGGUUAUGAUCCUAUUAAUGGAGAGAGA